UACGUAGGGCGCAAGCGUUGUCCGGAAUUAUUGGGCGUAAAGAGCUCGUAGGCGGCUUGUCACGUCGAUUGUGAAAGCCCGAGGCUUAACCUCGGGUCUGCAGUCGAUACGGGCUAGCUAGAGUGUGGUAGGGGAGAUCGGAAUUCCUGGUGUAGCGGUGAAAUGCGCAGAUAUCAGGAGGAACACCGGUGGCGAAGGCGGAUCUCUGGGCCAUUACUGACGCUGAGGAGCGAAAGCGUGGGGAGCGGACAGG
RNAcentral lists this ribosomal RNA (253 nucleotides) under uncultured bacterium. RNAcentral describes it as "partial 16S ribosomal RNA". It matches the Rfam family "Bacterial small subunit ribosomal RNA", at positions 524 to 776 of the family's 1533-position model. The record is from RNAcentral.